AAUGGGGAAACCCAGUGUGUUUCGACACACUAUCAUUAACUGAAUCCAUAGGUUAAUGAGGCGAACCGGGGGAACUGAAACAUCUAAGUACCCCGAGGAAAAGAAAUCAACCGAGAUUCCCCCAGUAGCGGCGAGCGAACGGGGAGGAGCCCAGAGCCUGAAUCAGUGUGUGUGUUAGUGGAAGCGUCUGGAAAGGCGCGCGAUACAGGGUGACAGCCCCGUACACAAAAAUGCACAUAUUGUGAGCUCGAUGAGUAGGGCGGGACACGUGGUAUCCUGUCUGAAUAUGGGGGGACCAUCCUCCAAGGCUAAAUACUCCUGACUGACCGAUAGUGAACCAGUACCGUGAGGGAAAGGCGAAAAGAACCCCGGCGAGGGGAGUGAAAAAGAACCUGAAACCGUGUACGUACAAGCAGUGGGAGCCUCUUAAUGGGGUGACUGCGUACCUUUUGUAUAAUGGGUCAGCGACUUAUAUUCUGUAGCAAGGUUAACCGAAUAGGGGAGCCGAAGGGAAACCGAGUCUUAACUGGGCGUUAAGUUGCAGGGUAUAGACCCGAAACCCGGUGAUCUAGCCAUGGGCAGGUUGAAGGUUGGGUAACACUAACUGGAGGACCGAACCGACUAAUGUUGAAAAAUUAGCGGAUGACUUGUGGCUGGGGGUGAAAGGCCAAUCAAACCGGGAGAUAGCUGGUUCUCCCCGAAAGCUAUUUAGGUAGCGCCUCGUGAAUUCAUCUCCGGGGGUAGAGCACUGUUUCGGCAAGGGGGUCAUCCCGACUUACCAACCCGAUGCAAACUGCGAAUACCGGAGAAUGUUAUCACGGGAGACACACGGCGGGUGCUAACGUCCGUCGUGAAGAGGGAAACAACCCAGACCGCCAGCUAAGGUCCCAAAGUCAUGGUUAAGUGGGAAACGAUGUGGGAAGGCCCAGACAGCCAGGAUGUUGGCUUAGAAGCAGCCAUCAUUUAAAGAAAGCGUAAUAGCUCACUGGUCGAGUCGGCCUGCGCGGAAGAUGUAACGGGGCUAAACCAUGCACCGAAGCUGCGGCAGCGACGCUUAUGCGUUGUUGGGUAGGGGAGCGUUCUGUAAGCCUGUGAAGGUGUGCUGUGAGGCAUGCUGGAGGUAUCAGAAGUGCGAAUGCUGACAUAAGUAACGAUAAAGCGGGUGAAAAGCCCGCUCGCCGGAAGACCAAGGGUUCCUGUCCAACGUUAAUCGGGGCAGGGUGAGUCGACCCCUAAGGCGAGGCCGAAAGGCGUAGUCGAUGGGAAACAGGUUAAUAUUCCUGUACUUGGUGUUACUGCGAAGGGGGGACGGAGAAGGCUAUGUUGGCCGGGCGACGGUUGUCCCGGUUUAAGCGUGUAGGCUGGUUUUCCAGGCAAAUCCGGAAAACCAAGGCUGAGGCGUGAUGACGAGGCACUACGGUGCUGAAGCAACAAAUGCCCUGCUUCCAGGAAAAGCCUCUAAGCAUCAGGUAACAUCAAAUCGUACCCCAAACCGACACAGGUGGUCAGGUAGAGAAUACCAAGGCGCUUGAGAGAACUCGGGUGAAGGAACUAGGCAAAAUGGUGCCGUAACUUCGGGAGAAGGCACGCUGAUAUGUAGGUGAAGCGACUAGCUCGUGGAGCUGAAAUCAGUCGAAGAUACCAGCUGGCUGCAACUGUUUAUUAAAAACACAGCACUGUGCAAACACGAAAGUGGACGUAUACGGUGUGACGCCUGCCCGGUGCCGGAAGGUUAAUUGAUGGGGUUAGCGGUAACGCGAAGCUCUUGAUCGAAGCCCCGGUA
This 1783-nucleotide ribosomal RNA is filed under the name Escherichia coli. Its description in RNAcentral is "partial 23S ribosomal RNA". It matches the Rfam family "Bacterial large subunit ribosomal RNA", at positions 117 to 1925 of the family's 2925-position model. The record is from RNAcentral. Lineage: Bacteria; Pseudomonadati; Pseudomonadota; Gammaproteobacteria; Enterobacterales; Enterobacteriaceae.